RNAcentral lists this ribosomal RNA (2205 nucleotides) under Metamycoplasma phocicerebrale. Its description in RNAcentral is "bacterial LSU rRNA". The stretch from base 1 to 1497 matches the Rfam family "Bacterial small subunit ribosomal RNA". Lineage: Bacteria; Bacillati; Mycoplasmatota; Mycoplasmoidales; Metamycoplasmataceae. The record is from RNAcentral.
GGAUGAACGCUGGCUGUGUGCCUAAUACAUGCAUGUCGAGCGAGGUUUCUUUUGAAGCCUAGCGGCGAAUGGGUGAGUAACACGUGCUUAAUCUACCCUUUAGAUUGGAAUACCCAAUGGAAACAUUGGCUAAUGCCGGAUACGCAUGGAACCGCAUGGUUCCGUUGUGAAAGGAGCUUUACAGCUCCGCUAAAGGAUGAGGGUGCGGAACAUUAGUUAGUUGGUAGGGUAAUGGCUUACCAAGACUAUGAUGUUUAGCCGGGUCGAGAGACUGAACGGCCACAUUGGGACUGAGAUACGGCCCAAACUCCUACGGGAGGCAGCAGUAGGGAAUAUUCCACAAUGAGCGAAAGCUUGAUGGAGCGACACAGCGUGCACGAUGAAKGUCUUCGGAUUGUAAAGUGCUGUUAUAGGGAAAGAACACUUGGUUGAGGAAAUGCUUCCAAGCUGACGGUACCCUGUCAGAAAGCGAUGGCUAACUAUGUGCCAGCAGCCGCGGUAAUACAUAGGUCGCAAGCGUUAUCCGGAAUUAUUGGGCGUAAAGCGUUCGUAGGCUGUUUAUUAAGUCUGGAGUCAAAUCCCGGGGCUCAACCCCGGCUCGCUUUGGAUACUGGUAAACUAGAGUUAGAUAGAGGUAAGCGGAAUUCCAUGUGAAGCGGUGAAAUGCGUAGAUAUAUGGAAGAACACCAAAGGCGAAGGCAGCUUACUGGGUCUAUACUGACGCUGAGGGACGAAAGCGUGGGGAGCAAACAGGAUUAGAUACCCUGGUAGUCCACGCUGUAAACGAUGAUCAUUAGUCGGUGGAGGAUUCACUGACGCAGCUAACGCAUUAAAUGAUCCGCCUGAGUAGUAUGCUCGCAAGAGUGAAACUUAAAGGAAUUGACGGGGACCCGCACAAGCGGUGGAGCAUGUGGUUUAAUUUGAAGAUACGCGGAGAACCUUACCCACUCUUGACAUCCUUCGCAAAGCUAUAGAGAUAUAGUGGAGGUUAACGAAGUGACAGAUGGUGCAUGGUUGUCGUCAGCUCGUGUCGUGAGAUGUUUGGUCAAGUCCUGCAACGAGCGCAACCCCUAUCUUUAGUUACUAACGAGUCAUGUCGAGGACUCUAGAGAUACUGCCUGGGUAACUGGGAGGAAGGUGGGGAUGACGUCAAAUCAUCAUGCCUCUUACGAGUGGGGCAACACACGUGCUACAAUGGUCGGUACAAAGAGAAGCAAUAUGGCGACAUGRAGCAAAUCUCAAAAAGCCGAUCUCAGUUCGGAUUGGAGUCUGCAAUUCGACUCCAUGAAGUCGGAAUCGCUAGUAAUCGCAGAUCAGCUACGCUGCGGUGAAUACGUUCUCGGGUCUUGUACACACCGCCCGUCACACCAUGGGAGCUGGUAAUACCCAAAGUCGGUUUGCUAACCUCGGAGGCGACCGCCUAAGGUAGGACUGGUGACUGGGGUGAAGUCGUAACAAGGUAUCCCUACGAGAACGUGGGGAUGGAUCACCUCCUUUCUACGGAGUACACAAUUGUUAUGGAAAAAUUAUUUGUAUCCAGUUUUGAGAGAUUUAUCUCUCUGUUCUUUGAAAACUGAAUAUCGACAUUGAAAAAUUAAAUUAUUAAUAUUUCAAAGUUUAGAUCAACCUAUAGAAUAUAAACAUCUAUAAUAAAAAGACAAACAAUAGGUCAUACAUAAAAAUAAAUAAAACUAUUAAACAAGAUAAGAGUUUUUGGUGGAUGCCUUGGGUCUGGAAGUCGAAGAAGGACGUGAUUACCUGCGAUAAGCCUCGGUUAGCUGGAAAUGAGCUGUGAUCCGGGGAUUUCCGAAUGGGGAAACCUAAUUGAGCUAAUCCUCAAUUAUCAUAUCGAUGAAUCCAUAGUCGAAUGAAGAGACACGCUGUGAAUUGAAACAUCUCAGUAGCAGCAGGAAGAGAAAAUAAAGAAUGAUUCCCUCAGUAGUGGCGAGCGAACGGGGAAAAGCCCAAACCAGCAUUCGUUGCUGGGGUUGUAGGACUACAUUUUAGAGUUACAAAUUUUACAUAUAGCAGAAUAAGUUGGAAUGCUUAAACAUAGAAGGUGAAAUUCCCGUAAGCGAAAUAUGUAAAUCUCUUUGUAGUAUCCUGAGUAGGGCGGGGCACGUGAAACCCUGUCUGAAUCUGCCGGGACCACCCGGUAAGGCUAAAUACUAACCAGACACCGAUAGCGAACUAGUACCGUGAGGG